This 21-nucleotide small nuclear RNA is filed under the name Arabidopsis thaliana (thale cress). RNAcentral describes it as "snRNA_09678". The record is from RNAcentral. Lineage: Eukaryota; Viridiplantae; Streptophyta; Magnoliopsida; Brassicales; Brassicaceae.
AAGUAGAUGAUGCUUCUUCGC